Molecule: transfer RNA, 85 nt
Organism: Leptonema illini DSM 21528
Lineage: Bacteria; Pseudomonadati; Spirochaetota; Leptospiria; Leptospirales; Leptospiraceae
Rfam family: tRNA
About the family: Transfer RNA (tRNA) molecules are approximately 80 nucleotides in length. Their secondary structure includes four short double-helical elements and three loops (D, anti-codon, and T loops).
Source: Rfam
GGGUAGGUGGCCGAGCGGCUAAUGGCACCAGACUGUAAAUCUGGCACUCGAGAGGGUUACGGAGGUUCGAAUCCUCCCCUGCCCA